GGAUGGGUGGCAGAGCGGUUGAUUGCACUAGUCUUGAAAACUAGCGGGCCCGCAAGGGUCCCGGGGGUUCAAAUCCCUCCCCAUCCGCCA
This 90-nucleotide transfer RNA is filed under the name Rickettsiales bacterium. RNAcentral describes it as "tRNA-Ser". It matches the Rfam family "tRNA". From Rfam's summary of the family: Transfer RNA (tRNA) molecules are approximately 80 nucleotides in length. The record is from RNAcentral. Lineage: Bacteria; Pseudomonadati; Pseudomonadota; Alphaproteobacteria; Rickettsiales.